AACACACCACGUUUAUUUACUGUAGAUACACUUUUAUCACUCAAUAUAACAAAAUGCCAUAGUUUAAAUUAAAACUUAGGAAAACAACGCAUAAAUUCAGUUAAAUAAUGUAUUAAUAAUUAUUACUUAGGAACUAAAUACAAUUAAAGUAUGAAUGACAAAGCUAGCAGUCAGCCAAAAAAUUUCGCCCGCACGGCCUAUAUCAAAACAUUGUCGAAGGUAAAAAGAUACCAAAAAGGGUCUAAUAAUUGCAGUAAAUCGGGCAACUGGAGUUACGAAAUAGACAUUCCUAACAUCGUAGCAUCCAUCGGAGCUCUGGUCGUAACUAUAGUUAUUUUUCGUUCCCUAUACUUGUUGUAUACGAAGCCAGAAGGAACCUAAUCAGAAUGACCAUAAAAUAAUAAACACAGAUGUUUUUUAAAAAAGAAACUAAAAUGGCUCGACUGAAAAGAGCUAUUUAUAUGAAAACACAUAAUGGCGCGAAGAAUGUAUACCUGGCGCAGUUGGCGAAUCUCGUAGGGGGAACGUGUUUUCUCUUUAUCGUAAUGAUUAUCCUAAGACUUCUAUAUUUAAAAUAUGUAAAGACCCAACCAGAUAGUGAAUGUUAAAGUUAACAAUAAAGCUUAUCACAAAUGUCCCAUAGA
Molecule: long non-coding RNA, 644 nt
Organism: Pieris brassicae (large cabbage white)
Lineage: Eukaryota; Metazoa; Arthropoda; Insecta; Lepidoptera; Pieridae
Exons: 2
Source: RefSeq, a predicted model, not a curated record